UCGCUGACGAGUGGCGGACGGGUGAGUAAUGUCUGGGAAACUGCCUGAUGGAGGGGGAUAACUACUGGAAACGGUGGCUAAUACCGCAUAACGUCGCAAGACCAAAGAGGGGGACCUUCGGGCCUCUUGCCAUCAGAUGUGCCCAGAUGGGAUUAGCUUGUUGGUGAGGUAACGGCUCACCAAGGCGACGAUCCCUAGCUGGUCUGAGAGGAUGACCAGCCACACUGGAACUGAGACACGGUCCAGACUCCUACGGGAGGCAGCAGUGGGGAAUAUUGCACAAUGGGCGCAAGCCUGAUGCAGCCAUGCCGCGUGUAUGAAGAAGGCCUUCGGGUUGUAAAGUACUUUCAGCGGGGAGGAAGGUGUUGUGGUUAAUAACCGCAGCAAUUGACGUUACCCGCAGAAGAAGCACCGGCUAACUCCGUGCCAGCAGCCGCGGUAAUACGGAGGGUGCAAGCGUUAAUCGGAAUUACUGGGCGUAAAGCGCACGCAGGCGGUCUGUCAAGUCGGAUGUGAAAUCCCCGGGCUCAACCUGGGAACUGCAUUCGAAACUGGCAGGCUUGAGUCUUGUAGAGGGGGGUAGAAUUCCAGGUGUAGCGGUGAAAUGCGUAGAGAUCUGGAGGAAUACCGGUGGCGAAGGCGGCCCCCUGGACAAAGACUGACGCUCAGGUGCGAAAGCGUGGGGAGCAAACAGGAUUAGAUACCCUGGUAGUCCACGCCGUAAACGAUGUCUACUUGGAGGUUGUGCCCUUGAGGCGUGGCUUCCGGAGCUAACGCGUUAAGUAGACCGCCUGGGGAGUACGGCCGCAAGGUUAAAACUCAAAUGAAUUGACGGGGGCCCGCACAAGCGGUGGAGCAUGUGGUUUAAUUCGAUGCAACGCGAAGAACCUUACCUGGUCUUGACAUCCACAGAAGAAUCCAGAGAUGGAUUUGUGCCUUCGGGAACUGUGAGACAGGUGCUGCAUGGCUGUCGUCAGCUCGUGUUGUGAAAUGUUGGGUUAAGUCCCGCAACGAGCGCAACCCUUAUCCUUUGUUGCCAGCGGUUAGGCCGGGAACUCAAAGGAGACUGCCAGUGAUAAACUGGAGGAAGGUGGGGAUGACGUCAAGUCAUCAUGGCCCUUACGACCAGGGCUACACACGUGCUACAAUGGCGCAUACAAAGAGAAGCGACCUCGCGAGAGCAAGCGGACCUCAUAAAGUGCGUCGUAGUCCGGAUUGGAGUCUGCAACUCGACUCCAUGAAGUCGGAAUCGCUAGUAAUCGUGGAUCAGAAUGCCACGGUGAAUACGUUCCCGGGCCUUGUACACACCGCCCGUCACACCAUGGGAGUGGGUUGCAAAAGAAGUAGGUAGCUUAACCUUCGGGAGGGCGCUUACCACUUUGUGAUUCAUGACUGGGGUGAAGUCGUAACAAGGUAACCGUAGGGGAACCUGCGGUUGGAUCACCUCCUUACCUUAAAGAA
This 1461-nucleotide ribosomal RNA is filed under the name Salmonella enterica subsp. enterica serovar Enteritidis. RNAcentral's name for it is "bacterial SSU rRNA". It matches the Rfam family "Bacterial small subunit ribosomal RNA". The record is from RNAcentral. Lineage: Bacteria; Pseudomonadati; Pseudomonadota; Gammaproteobacteria; Enterobacterales; Enterobacteriaceae.